UACGUAGGGGGCUAGCGUUGUCCGGAAUUAUUGGGCGUAAAGCGCACGUAGGCGGCUUUGCAAGUCCCAUGUGAAAUCCCACGGCUCAACCGUGGAAGUGCAUGGGAAACUGCAGAGCUUGAGUACUUAAGAGGAUCGCGGAAUUCCCGGUGUAGAGGUGAAAUUCGUAGAUAUCGGGAGGAACACCAGUGGCGAAGGCGGCGAUCUGGGAAGAUACUGACGCUGAGGUGCGAAAGCGUGGGGAGCAAACAGG
RNAcentral lists this ribosomal RNA (253 nucleotides) under uncultured bacterium. RNAcentral's name for it is "partial 16S ribosomal RNA". It matches the Rfam family "Bacterial small subunit ribosomal RNA", at positions 524 to 776 of the family's 1533-position model. The record is from RNAcentral.